GAUGAACGCUGGCGGCGUGCCUAAUACAUGCAAGUCGAGCGAACGGACGAGAAGCUUGCUUCUCUGAUGUUAGCGGCGGACGGGUGAGUAACACGUGGAUAACCUACCUAUAAGACUGGGAUAACUUCGGGAAACCGUAGCUAAUACCGGAUAAUAUUUUGAACCGCAUGGUUCAAAAGUGAAAGACGGUCUUGCUGUCACUUAUAGAUGGAUCCGCGCUGCAUUAGCUAGUUGGUAAGGUAACGGCUUACCAAGGCAACGAUGCAUAGCCGACCUGAGAGGGUGAUCGGCCACACUGGAACUGAGACACGGUCCAGACUCCUACGGGAGGCAGCAGUAGGGAAUCUUCCGCAAUGGGCGAAAGCCUGACGGAGCAACGCCGCGUGAGUGAUGAAGGUCUUCGGAUCGUAAAACUCUGUUAUUAGGUAAGAACAUAUGUGUAAGUAACUGUGCACAUCUUGUCGGUACCUAAUCAGAAAGCCACGGCUAACUACGUG
Molecule: ribosomal RNA, 497 nt
Filed under: uncultured bacterium
Lineage: Bacteria
Description: partial 16S ribosomal RNA
Rfam family: Bacterial small subunit ribosomal RNA
Source: RNAcentral